AUUGAUCGCUGGCGGCAGGCCUAACACAUGCAAGUCGAGCGGAUGAAGGGAGCUUGCUCCUGGAUUCAGCGGCGGACGGGUGAGUAAUGCCUAGGAAUCUGCCUGGUAGUGGGGAUAACGUCCGGAAACGGGCGCUAAUACCGCAUACGUCCUGAGGGAGAAAGUGGGGGAUCUUCGGACCUCACGCUAUCAGAUGAGCCUAGGUCGGAUUAGCUAGUUGGUGGGGUAAAGGCCUACCAAGGCGACGAUCCGUAACUGGUCUGAGAGGAUGAUCAGUCACACUGGAACUGAGACACGGUCCAGACUCCUACGGGAGGCAGCAGUGGGGAAUAUUGGACAAUGGGCGAAAGCCUGAUCCAGCCAUGCCGCGUGUGUGAAGAAGGUCUUCGGAUUGUAAAGCACUUUAAGUUGGGAGGAAGGGCAGUAAGUUAAUACCUUGCUGUUUUGACGUUACCAACAGAAUAAGCACCGGCUAACUUCGUG
This 483-nucleotide ribosomal RNA is filed under the name uncultured bacterium. RNAcentral's name for it is "partial 16S ribosomal RNA". It matches the Rfam family "Bacterial small subunit ribosomal RNA", at positions 30 to 507 of the family's 1533-position model. The record is from RNAcentral.